AAUAGAUUCUGGUCAUGAAACAGGCCCCAUUUCAGAGAAACAGCUUCCCAUAAAAUGCCUUCGCCCAGAGGUUCAAAUCCGGGUUAGCACAUUGCAUUUAUUUGUCACGUCUCCUCUGAACUGUGAAAAGUCUCUUAUUUUUCAUCACCAUGACACUUCGAGUUUUGGAGAUUUCAGUGCGUGAUCGUUUUGACCUUGUGGCAGGGAAGUGCAUCGUGGUGGGAAGCAUGUGGCAGAGCGAAGGCACUUACCUCCUGACCAGAGUAUUAAAGAGAGGAGGACAAAGGGUCUGGAGUCCCACUCUUCCCUUCAAGGACACACUGAGUGACCGGAAGACCUCCCAAUAGUACCGUGGG
Long non-coding RNA from Sciurus carolinensis (gray squirrel), 356 nucleotides. RefSeq lists it as uncharacterized. Lineage: Eukaryota; Metazoa; Chordata; Mammalia; Rodentia; Sciuridae. The record is from RefSeq and is a predicted model, not a curated record. The transcript has 3 exons.